RNAcentral lists this ribosomal RNA (254 nucleotides) under uncultured bacterium. Its description in RNAcentral is "partial 16S ribosomal RNA". It matches the Rfam family "Bacterial small subunit ribosomal RNA", at positions 57 to 305 of the family's 1533-position model. The record is from RNAcentral.
GCAAGUCGAACGGAGCUGAGAGGAGCUUGCUUUUCCAGCUUAGUGGCGAACGGGUGAGUAACGCGUGAGUAACCUGCCCUGGAGUGGGGGACAACAGUUGGAAACGACUGCUAAUACCGCAUAAGCCCACGAUCCGGCAUCGGAUUGAGGGAAAAGGAUUUAUUCGCUUCAGGAUGGACUCGCGUCCGAUUAGCUAGUUGGUGAGGUAACGGCCCACCAAGGCGACGAUUGGUAGCCGGACUGAGAGGUUGAGC